CCGGAAAACUGGACGAACUUCGAAUUCUCUUCUUCGGCAAUAAAAUAUUGGUCACAGAUCGCCGCUACCACCACCGCCGCCGCCGCCUCGCAGCUCAAAACCCUAGUCCUCGUUCCCAAACCCCGGCUAGCGUCCAUGGAGAACCCCAGGCCCCUACCCCCUGCCAUCACCCCUCCCAUGGCCCCCCUCCCCGUCCACCCACCCAUCGCCCCCGUCCCCGUCCCCGUCCCACCCCGCGCCCCCGCCUCCACAUCCGCCGCUGCCGGAGGCGGGGACGAUGACGAGGUCGGCUACGAGGUCUCCGACGACCACCGCGCCGCGCGGAAGCGCCACGAGCGCGCCGUGCAGGAGCUCCUGCAGCGCCGGCGCGCCUACGCCAUGGCCGUGCCCACCAACGACUCCGCCGUGCGCGCGCGCCUCCGCCGCCUCGGCGAGCCCAUCACGCUCUUCGGCGAGGGCGCGAUGGAGCGCCGCGACCGCCUGCGCGCGCUCAUGGCCCGCCUCGAGGCCGAGGGCCAGUUCGACCGCCUCCUCCGCGCGCAGGAGGACGAACAGGUAGUCCCGGGCGACGACGACGACGACGAGGGCGCGGAGCAGAUCAAGUACCCGUUCUUCACCGAGGGGACCAACCAACUGCUCCAGGCGCGCGUCGACAUCGCCAUGUACUCACUGCCCCGCGCCAAGGCCAGGGUCGAGAGGGCCAAGCGACGCCUCGCCGACCCCGACGAGGACCCCGAGGCAGAGGCCGCCCUUGUCGUGAAGCAGGCGGCGGAUUUCGCGCUUGAGCGCAGCGAGAUUGGAGACGACCGCCCGCUCACCGGCUGCUCCUUCUCCCGGGAUGCCUCAAUGCUCGCCACAAGCUCCUGGAGUGGGAUCGUCAAAGUAUGGAGCUUGCCACAGAUAACCAGAAUCGCAACCCUGAAAGGCCAUACAGAACGUGCAACUGAUGUUGCCUUCUCCCCAGUCGACAACUGCUUAGCGACAGCCUCAGCUGAUAAAACUGCCAAAUUGUGGAACAGCGAUGGGUCACUUCUGAUGUCUUUUGAUGGCCACCUGGAUCGUCUUGCUCGCCUUGCUUUUCAUCCAUCUGGAAAGUACCUUGGUACAGCUAGCUUUGACAAGACCUGGAGAUUGUGGGACAUCAACACUGGAACUGAACUUCUACUCCAGGAGGGACAUAGCAGAAGUGUAUAUGGUGUCAGCUUUCACCCGGACGGUUCUUUAGCUGCAUCUUGUGGGUUUGAUGCGAGUGCUCGAGUUUGGGAUCUAAGAUCAGGAAGAUUGUACUGUACCCUCAUUGGACAUGUCAAACCUGUCCUAGGAGUCACCUUCUCACCUAAUGGUCAUCUGGUUGCAACCGUGAGUGAAGACAAUUUCUGUCGAAUAUGGGAUUUGAGGACCAGACAAAUGUUAUAUUCUAUACCAGCACAUAAGAGUCUCAUCUCGCAUGUGAAAUUUGAACCCCAGGAGGGUUAUUAUUUAGCAACAUCUUCCUAUGACACUAAAGCAGCGCUAUGGUCAACUCGGGAUUACAAACCAAUUAAAAGCUUGUCAGGCCAUGAGUCAAACGUUACUAGUCUGGAUAUUAGUGGAGAUGGACAACAGAUUGUGACUGUUUCACUUGAUAGAACGAUAAAGAUCUGGUCAUGCAGAGGCAGCGCGCGGGAUAAUGAGAUGGAGCUGGAUUAAGCAUUGAUUCCACCGUUGCUGGAAACAGCAAUAUUGCUUCACAGCGAACUUGGCAGCGCGUAUAAACACAGAGUUGCAGACUGGGAGAACUGCAGAUCGAAAAGCAUAUCUGAUAGGUAUGUUUGCCAGGCAUGCCAUACAUUUUCUAUAGUACCUUAGUGGAAAUUCCACCAAACAUGACUGGAAAAGAUUGCCAGUUUUCAGUUAACAUUAUAUCAGUACAGAAGAUGCAAGUAUUUAGACAAACAUAAUUGAAUGAGCAGCAGUGCACACUGAUCUUUAGACGUAACGCCGUACAGAGAAGCUGGAUUGAUUCAUGUAGCAGAAGUUAUGUAUCAGCUGGAAACAGAAGGGUGGAAAUACAUAGUGUAAUUACCGGAAUGGUAUAAUUUUGAUACAUCCCACUGUCUCACGUAUCAUCCUAGCAUAGUUGCCAGUCUAGGAAUACGUCCUGAUCUUGUGUAUGUGUUUCUCUAAUCGCAUGCCCAUAGACAUGCCUAUCCGCCACCUCUUAAAUGUUGACAGGGGUUGUAUUCAUAAUCUCAUCAUCCACAACGUUUUUCCUGAAGGACAAAUUAAGUGCAGUCACGUUCCUUUUUUGCUCAGAAAAGGUAUUAAUAUAUUCGACUGCAAGUUACCACCACCUGGCCUUUAUUUUGGUGCUAUUAUUCUCAUGUGACAGCAAUAUAGAACAACGUCAGAAUCUUGACAGUAUAUAUCUUGACUUAAUAGAUGUACUCCCUCCUAUUCAUAUUAGUUGACGCACACUUGGUACAACUUUGUAUUAAAGUUGUACUAAGUGUGUGUCAAUUAAUUUGGAUCGGAGGGAGUAUGACUCUUUCAAACCAAAGAUUCCUAGCUGCUUUUCCAAAAUAUGCUCACUUUCAGUGUAAGUGUUCAAUAGGGAAUUUAUUACUACUGGUGUUGGACUGUCAAACAAAGGAAACCUUAAUUACUGUGGUAUCUCUCCGUCUGUAUUUACUUAGAAAAUAAUUCCCCUGGAAAAAGUGGGGAAUCCAUAAACAAAGAGGAAUUCAUUUCUACAUUCUUAAUUAACCAAUGAACUAAAAAUCAAGAGGGGUUGACUGGCUGUACCCGUGCACUAAAUUGGCAGCCGGUACGCAUGUGUUUCUCUAAACUUUAUUUCUAUCUUCUGAAUAGGAAAACAAUUUUGGGUUUAGCUACGAUUGUAAAAAACUUGAUGGCGAGAACUAUGUUGCAACCUUGCAGAUCCUAUAUCCUAAUGGUAACCAUGGUAAACAGCAACCUAGGCGACAAACAAAGGAGUAGCACCAAGCAGAAUGUACCUCUAAGUAUGCCCAGGAUAAGCUGUUGCCAUUGCCAUGGAGUUCAUCAUUGUCCACAACUAGCUCCUCUUGAACCUGUGGUUGAAUGACCUCCUGAUCCUCCUGCUGGGGCAUGGCCCAAUAGCUACCUUCAUCCCAUCCAUCAUCAUCUGGAAUGUCAUUGUUUAACUGGUUGUCAUCUGGUUCAAAUCCUUGAAGGUUAUCAGCAUUUUCAAGCAGAGGAUGGGGGCAGGGGCGGCGCCAGCGUGGGGUCGUGUAGGGGCGGCCGCCCCGGGUAAAUUUUGGGACCUAGGGUAGCUCCUCUACUACUUUGGUUAGUGGCCGCCAUGGAAGAUGAGACGUGUUCCCUGUAACCUGUGUGUUCGAUCGUGGGAUCAGCCGAGGAGGAAGACGAGGAGCGAAAUAACGAUUCAUUUUUGAGAUGGGCCAGCUAGUACGUCUUAUAAGUUGGUAGUAAAGGCCCAAUUAAGCAGGAGCCCAUUUUUAUGUACAGCUUCAAGCCUUGACGUUCCCCAAUUUCUCUAACUUCCCAUCACGAUCGACGGAGUAAACAAAUCUGGGCAUUAGGCCAUCACGUCUUCCGCCGCCGGCUCGCUGCCUCACCCUGGUGCUGCCCAAGCCCGAUAGAUGGUGCUUAAUGGAGAUCUGAGAGCCGGGUCGCCGCCUUGCCGUUCCCAAUUUCUGGCAACUUCGCCACUGGAAUAGCCAUGCGCCGCGCUUACAAGUACAAGCAAGCAGCCAUGGAGGACACAAACAGCAGGUACCUGGACUUGAAGAUUGGACAUUUUGGGAUGAAGAACGAAAGAUUCAAUCAGCGGGAGCACAAGUUAAGCCUUAUAAUUGUUUUGGUUGUUUUUAAUGCUUUUUUACCUAGUUCUUGAGAUUGAAACUACUUUGAACAAUUGUUUGUGUUGAUUGUCUUAUCUGUAUGCAUACUACUUGCUAAAUUUAUGGUGUUGAUUGUCUUGUUUGAUACCAUCAUGGAUUCGGAUUUUGUUUACUUUAAAAGUCUGCCCCGGGUAACUUCAAAUCCUGGAUCCGCCACUGGAUGGGGGUCUACACCAGGUGGAGGGAACGGGUCCUCAUCAGCUGGCCCUCGCCCAAGCAUGUUCUCAAGAAGCAAUUCCAUAGAGCAUGACCAGGUAUCCUCUUCAAAAUCCUCUCCCUCACACCAUAUUAAGCUCUUGGGGAUGCUGCCAAGAUCAGUUACUUUAGCAUUAACUAAAACCCCUCCUCUCCUAGUUUCAUCCUUCUCCCACAUCAUCAACCUACCAAACUUGCUGAUCGCAUGCGUCAGAUCUUCAGUGGUCCAAAAAUCAAAAGGGACUCCAGUCAGCAGCAACCAAACAUCUCUGUUAAAAUAGGUGCGUCUCCAAUUUCUCUCCUCAUUGUGUUUGACAAAAGUAAGGAAUAUAUCUCCAAAUGCAUGCGGAUUGUCUCUUAUUAACCUAUCUCUGUCCCGAACCCGCGCAAACCGCACAUACGCUUCUCCAAAAGGGCACUCUUGCCCAUCUCUCACCUCAGCAUGAACAGAAAGGGGGAAAUCUUCAACUACUUCUCUGACAUUCUGAAAAAUACCUCAGCUGGCCCAGUCUUGUGCAUGAAGAUAAGUUGGAGUUCAUUGAUUGGUUUGCUAAUAUCCAUAUGCCAAAUGAAGUAGACUGGAUGAUCAUAGGAGAUUUCAGCUUCAUUAGAAGCCCAUCUGAUAGAAACAGAGCUGGGGGAGAUGCCAAUGAGAUGCUUCUUUUUAAUGAGGCCAUUAGCAAAUUAGGUUUUGUUGAGUUGCCCCUAAAAGGCAGACAAUUUAGUUGGUCUAAUAUGCAACUCGGCCCUCUUUCGGAAAAGUUGGACUGGUUCUUCACCUCUGCAGCUUGGCUUACCUCUUAUCCUGACUCUGUGGUGCUACCCCUUGCUAGACCAAUUUCUGAUCACCUGCCUUGUAUGAUCAAAAUAGGGACUUCCAUUGCUAAAUCAAACAUUUUCAGGUUUGAAAAUUUCUGGCUUCACCACAACACUUUCAAAGAGAUGGUGGCCAAUGCUUGCACAUACCUGUGGGUUACACCGACUUUGCUAAGAAAAUUACUACUAAAUUUAAGAAUUUGGGAACGGCUAUUAAGUUAUGGGCAAAACAAUUGUUAGAUCUUAAAAAGCAAAUUGCCACCUUGAAUGACUGGAUUGGAUUAUUUGAUACUUUUGAGGAGUUCAGAGAGUCAAGUCUUUGCGAAUGGAAUUGCAGAUCUAUUUUGUUAAAGAAGAAUUACUUGUGGUCCUUAAGAACCAAAUGAUUUAUUGGAAGCAAAGAGGGAGAAUCAAAGGGGUUAAAUUUGGAGAUGAGAACACAAUUUUUUUUCACACAAAAGCAACCAUAAACCUUAGAAACAAUCACAUUGCUAUUCUUCAGAACGAUGACAAGGUGAAGAUUACUGAUCAUGAUGGAAAAUCAGCUAUUUUGUGGAAUGCUUUCAAGCAAAGAUUGGGCAUGACUGAAGAAACUACUAUGCAUUUUGAUCUCCGGGAUAUUUUACAUCAACAACUUGACCAUGCCCUCUUUGAAAGUUUGGAAACUCCUUUUACUGAUCAGGAGAUAAAUGAUGUAGUUAAGGAACUACCCAAUGACAAAUCUCCUGGUCCUGAUGGUUUCAAUAAUGAGUUCUACAAAGCUUGUUGGGGUAUCAUUGGUCCAGACAUCAGGCAACUAGUUCAUGAUUUCCAUGCAGGGAACAUCAAUUUGGAAAGCAUUAAUUCCUCAUACAUCACUCUCAUUCCAAAGGUGGAUUGCCCCAUAUCACCAAAUGACCUAUAUCCUUGCUAAAUAGUUGCCUCAAAAUCAUCACCAAGCUAUUGGCAAACAGGUUACAAAAAAUCAUCUUGAAGAUUGUGCACAUUAAUCAAUAUGGGUUUCUCAAGGACAGAGCAACCCAAGAUUGCUUGGGUUGGGCAUAUGGAUACCUGCACCAGUGCCAUGCCUCUAAAGAGCAAGUGGUUGUGUUAAAAUUGGAUUUUGAAAAGGCUUUUGACAAAAUUGAACACCAAGCAAUUUUGGAAAUUCUCAAGGCUAAAGGAUUUGGUAGUAAAUGGAUUCACUGGAUGAAAGUGCUAUUUAAUUAUGCCUCAUCUUCUGUGAUACUCAAUGGAGUGCCAGGAAAGGAAUUUUAUUGUAAGAGAGGGGUCAGGCAAGGUGAUCCCCUCUCCUCUCUACUGUUUGUCCUUGCUGUAGACCUACUUCAAUCCAUCCUAAACAAAGCAAUGAGCAGAAAGUUAGUUAUACCCCCUUUAAAUGUGGGUAGCUGUCCUGAUUUCCCUGUUGUGCAAUAUGCUGAUGAUACCCUGAUCAUUAUGAAGACAAACCCAGUUCAUUUGUUCAAUCUCAAGGCUUUGCUCAAUACUUUUGCUACUGCUACAGGUCUCAAGGUAAAUUAUCACAAAUCAAAUUUGAUUCCUAUCAACUUAUCUGAAGACAGAUCUGACAUCAUGAUUAACACCUUGGGAUGCAAAAGAGGUUAUUUUCCAUUCACAUAUCUUGGAUUGCCACUUGGACUAGUUAAACCCACUUGGUGCAGAGAAUUGCAAAAAAACUAAUGGGACUGGCAACAUUCAUGACACAAGCUGGGAGACUGUUACUGGUCAAAUCUAUUCUUGCAUCUUUACCAAUCUUUUUCAUGUGUUGCUUGGAUAUACCACAGACCAUCAAAAAACAAAUUGCAAAAUAUCUUAGACACUCUCUCUGGAGAGGAUCAGACAUGGAAGAUCACAUGCCAGCAAUGGUUGCUUGGAGUGUGGUGUCUAGACCUAAAAAUCAAGGAGGCCUGGGAAUUUGCAACUUAAGUGUGCAAAACAAUGCUCUUCUGCUGAAAAACUUGCACAAAUUCUUUAACAGUCACAACAUUCCAUGGGUAAAUUUGUUUUUUGGGAAAUUUAUUACAGUAAUGGCAUGUUGCCUGGUCAGAACAUGGUUGGAUCUUUUUGGUGGAAGACAAAUUUGAAACUGCUUGACUUAUUCAAAUCCAUGGCCAUAUGCAGUAUUGGUGAUGGGAAGUCUGCUCUAUUCUGGACUGAUCAAUGGCACUCUACAUGUCUAUUUCAAUGCCUGCCUCACUUAUCCUCUUUUACAAAGAAUACUCUAUUAUCAGUUCAGGAAGCUACCAACUUGGAAUAUUUGGAAGACCUGUUUCACCUCCCCCUGUCUACACAAGCUUAUGAGGAAUUCCAGCAACUUGAGAUCAUCUGUGAGGAGGUUAGAUCAUCUGAAUACAGGGAUUGUAAUGACACCUGGAGCUAUUUAUGGGGGUCUGCUAAUUUCUCUUCUUCAAAAGCAUAUACCUGCAUGAUUGGAGUUAAAAUUGUACCACCUCACUUCCAGUGGGUUUGGAACACAUCAUGUCAACCCAAGCACAAAGUUUUUUCUGGAUGGUGCUUAACCUACUCAGAAGAAAAACAUUUCAUUUGGACACAUACAACUGUGUUGUGAUGGAUUGUCAACAGGAAGAAACCUUACACCUAUUCUGGGGAUGCCCUUUUGCUGCUUUUUGUUGGAACUUUGUUUGCCCCAACAAAAAUGUAGCUCUGUCAGUCUUACAGACCAUUGAAGAUAUGAAGCAGAGUCUGGCCUUGCCUUUUGCUAUGGACAUUAUUAUUUUGGCUUCUUGGGCCAUCUGGAUAACUAGAAACAACAGGAUAUUCCCAAAUCCCCCCUUCAUUUCAAAGAUGAAAGGACACCUACUUCAUGGAGCUCAAUUUGUUAAAAUUCAGAAUGAAGAAGUACUCCACUUUGUAUCAAUCAUGGCUGGACUCUGUAUUGUAAUUUUCUUGGUUUUUCUUUUCUUUUCUUUUACUUCUCUCUGUUUGGCCUUUUUAGAUAGCUUUUAUUUUAUUUUAUUUUAGGUUCUAUUUUUGUUCUGUUGGCUUACCUCAAGCCUGUAAGACCUGCCCCUUUGGGGCCUUUCAGGGAUUUUCCCUACUGUGUACAGUCAAAAAAAAAAAGAAUGUACCUCAACCGCAGCAGAGGCUGAUGAACAGAGAAAACAACCGCCACACAGAUUGACCCAGCCAAUUGUAAGAGCAUCACUUCCGGAUUUGGUGUUUUCCUGAAAGAGCAAAGGGGCAAAGGAUUUCUUCAGUAUUGCACAAGACUUUGAUCUAUCUGGCUGGUUCUGCUUCAGCUGAGGCUAUCGCCGAUGUUGCCCUCUGCUCUAUGGAGCCAUGGAGGUUGUGAAGGUCCGUGUUCAGACACAACUUGCCUUUGCAAGAGGUUUAUCUGAUGGGCUCCGUAAGUUUGUGAAGGCUGAAGGAUAUGCUGGCUUGUACAAGCGAAUUGUUCCGCUCUAGGGCCGACAAAUUACUGUUGCUUAACUUGUAGCCCCAGGGAUAGAGUGUUGCUUCCGUGUGCUGAGUUCAAACCUGUACGAUGAACACCAAGUUCAAACCUGUACGAUGGCAGUGAAGUCGCGCCACCGAAUCUCUUUGCAUCCUGAUGUAAUUAGUUCGUUAAGUAUUCAAUUCUAUAGCAGUAAUUAUUUCUGAAUUUCUCCUGCUGCUGGUUACCGAGUUCCAAGUGACAUUCAGUGUUCUCUAAAGGAAUUUUUUUGUACUACUAGUAAAAAUGAUUUUUAUUACAUGAGAUAUUUUCCAGAACCA
RNA transcript from Triticum urartu, 8630 nucleotides. The record is from RefSeq and is a predicted model, not a curated record. Lineage: Eukaryota; Viridiplantae; Streptophyta; Magnoliopsida; Poales; Poaceae.